CGCGUAGGCGGAUUGGAAAGUUGGGGUGAAAUCCCGGGGCUCAACCCCGGAACUGCCUCCAAAACUCCCAGUCUAGAGUUCGAGAGAGGUGAGUGGAAUUCCGAGUGUAGAGGUGAAAUUCGUAGAUAUUCGGAGGAACACCAGUGGCGAAGGCGGCUCACUGGCUCGAUACUGACGCUGAGGUGCGAAAGCGUGGGGAGCAAACA
This 206-nucleotide ribosomal RNA is filed under the name uncultured bacterium. Its description in RNAcentral is "partial 16S ribosomal RNA". It matches the Rfam family "Bacterial small subunit ribosomal RNA", at positions 568 to 774 of the family's 1533-position model. The record is from RNAcentral.